This 426-nucleotide ribosomal RNA is filed under the name Acidobacterium sp. Ellin289. RNAcentral describes it as "bacterial SSU rRNA". It matches the Rfam family "Bacterial small subunit ribosomal RNA", at positions 19 to 458 of the family's 1533-position model. The record is from RNAcentral. Lineage: Bacteria; Pseudomonadati; Acidobacteriota; Terriglobia; Terriglobales; Acidobacteriaceae.
AUGGCUCAAGAAUCAACGCUGGCGGCGUGCCUAACACAUGCAAGUCGAACGAGAAAGUGGAGUAAUCCAUGAGUAAAGUGGCGCACGGGUGAGUAACACGUGACUAACCUACCCUGGAGUGGGGGAUAACUGAGGGAAACCUUAGCUAAUACCGCAUAAUACCUACGGGUCAAAGGAGCAAUUCGCUUCAGGAGGGGGUCGCGGCCGAUUAGUUAGUUGGCAGGGUAAUGGCCUACCAAGACGAUGAUCGGUAUCCGGCCUGAGAGGGCGCACGGACACACUGGAACUGAAACACGGUCCAGACUCCUACGGGAGGCAGCAGUGGGGAAUUUUGCGCAAUGGGGGAAACCCUGACGCAGCAACGCCGCGUGGAGGAUGAAGUCCUUCGGGACGUAAACUCCUUUCGAUCGGGACGAUUAUGACGGU